This 484-nucleotide ribosomal RNA is filed under the name uncultured bacterium. RNAcentral describes it as "partial 16S ribosomal RNA". It matches the Rfam family "Bacterial small subunit ribosomal RNA", at positions 30 to 507 of the family's 1533-position model. The record is from RNAcentral.
AUUGAACGCUGGCGGCAGGCCUAACACAUGCAAGUCGAGCGGAUGAAGGGAGCUUGCUCCUGGAUUCAGCGGCGGACGGGUGAGUAAUGCCUAGGAAUCUGCCUGGUAGGGGGGGAUAAAGGUGGGAAACGGGCGCUAAUACCGCAUACGUCCUGAGGGAGAAAGUGGGGGAUCUUCGGACCUCACGCUAUCAGAUGAGAGUAGGUCGGAUGAGCUAGUUGGUGGGGUAAAGGCCUACCAAGGCGACGAUCCGUAACUGGUCUGAGAGGAUGAUCAGUCACACUGGAACUGAGACACGGUCCAAACUCCUACGGGAGGCAGCAGUGGGGAAUAUUGGACAAUGGGCGAAAGCCUGAUCCAGCCAUGCCGCGUGUGUGAAGAAGGUCUUCGGAUUGUAAAGCACUUUAAGUUGGGAGGAAGGGCAGUAAGUUAAUACCUUGCUGUUUUGACGUUACCAACAGAAUAAGCACCGGCUAACUUCGUG